ACUCCUGCGGGAGGCAGCAGUGGGGAAUUUUGGACAAUGGGCGAAAGCCUGAUCCAGCAAUGCCGCGUGAGUGAAGAAGGCCUUCGGGUUGUAAAGCUCUUUUGUCAGGGAAGAAACGGUGAAAGCUAAUAUCUUUUGCUAAUGACGGUACCUGAAGAAUAAGCACCGGCUAACUACGUGCCAGCAGCCGCGGUAAUACGUAGGGUGCAAGCGUUAAUCGGAAUUACUGGGCGUAAAGCGUGCGCAGGCGGUUUUGUAAGUCUGAUGUGAAAUCCCCGGGCUCAACCUGGGAAUUGCAUUGGAGACUGCAAGGCUAGAAUCUGGCAGAGGGGGGUAGAAUUCCACGUGUAGCAGUGAAAUGCGUAGAUAUGUGGAGGAACACCGAUGGCGAAGGCAGCCCCCUGGGUCAAGAUUGACGCUCAUGCACGAAAGCGUGGGGAGCAAACAGGAUUAGAUACCCGCGUAGUCCCAU
RNAcentral lists this ribosomal RNA (472 nucleotides) under uncultured organism. Its description in RNAcentral is "partial 16S ribosomal RNA". It matches the Rfam family "Bacterial small subunit ribosomal RNA", at positions 335 to 798 of the family's 1533-position model. The record is from RNAcentral.